This 335-nucleotide unclassified non-coding RNA is filed under the name soil metagenome. RNAcentral describes it as "partial contains 5.8S ribosomal RNA, internal transcribed spacer 2, and large subunit ribosomal RNA". The stretch from base 1 to 120 matches the Rfam family "5.8S ribosomal RNA", at positions 35 to 154 of the family's 154-position model. The record is from RNAcentral.
GAUGAAGAACGCAGCGAAAUGCGAUAAGUAAUGUGAAUUGCAGAAUUCAGUGAAUCAUCGAAUCUUUGGACGCACAUUGCGCCCGCCAGUAUUCUGGCGGGCAUGCCUGUUCGAGCGUCAUUUCAACCAUCAAGCCCCCGGCUUGUGUUGGGGACCUGCGGCUGCCGCAGGCCCUGAAAACCAGUGGCGGGCUCGCUAGUCACUCCGAGCGUAGUAAUACAUCUCGCUCAGGGCGUGCUGCGGGUUCCGGCCGUUAAAAAGCCUUAUUUACCCAAGGUUGACCUCGGAUCAGGUAGGAAGACCCGCUGAACUUAAGCAUAUCAAUAAGCGGAGGA